Molecule: ribosomal RNA, 320 nt
Filed under: uncultured delta proteobacterium
Lineage: Bacteria; Deltaproteobacteria
Description: bacterial SSU rRNA
Rfam family: Bacterial small subunit ribosomal RNA
Source: RNAcentral
GCCGGCGCGCGGGGAUGGGCCUGCGUCCUAUCAGCUAGUUGGCAGGUAACGGCCUACCAAGGCUUCGACGGGUAGCUGGUCUGAGAGGAUGAUCAGCCACACUGGCACUGAAACACGGGCCAGACUCCUACGGGAGGCAGCAGUGAGGAAUUUUGCGCAAUGGCCGCAAGGCUGACGCAGCAACGCCGCGUGGGUGAAGAAGGCCUUCGGGUCGUAAAGCCCUGUCAGGUGGGAAGAAUGUUUCGGGGAGUAAUAUGUCCCGGAAGUGACGGUACCACCAGAGGAAGCACCGGCUAACUCCGUGCCAGCAGCCGCGGUAA